Mesocricetus auratus (golden hamster) is the source of this 711-nucleotide long non-coding RNA. RefSeq lists it as uncharacterized. The record is from RefSeq and is a predicted model, not a curated record. The transcript has 3 exons. NCBI's taxonomy places the organism in Eukaryota, Metazoa, Chordata, Mammalia, Rodentia, Cricetidae.
CUGACUCUGGGAGAUAUCUCGAAGGGAAAGCAGGCCACCCAGAAAACCUGAAGGCAUUUCUGACACCCGACUUCCUCCCUGAACGCAUCUUGGACCUUCAGCUUCAGGGGAGCUAGCGCUGACCUGUCUGGAAACCUCCUCAGUACGAAGAGCCCGUCCUGCACUCAGCCUGUCCUCUGUCCAGCCGCGUCCAGCCCAUUCCUGUCAGUGUGAUUACACUUUGUGCGUUGGAAUUUUUCUCACCUCGGAGCGCUAGUCCAUGCAGCAGCUGGACUCGGCUGAUGGAGAGGUUUGCCUUUAGGUUGUGGUGGCGCUACGGAACUGAUAUUUAAGGACUGUCCACCAGGUCUCCUGUGGAUUUCACCUGUGUAUCUACAUUAUGCAAAGCAAGGAUAUGCAGCCCCACUUUCAGCUAAAGGGAAUGGUCCCCAUCUCAGUUUGAUGACAGCUUCUUUCUCUCCAUCCAACACCGGCAACACCACCCCCUCUUCCUCCCACUGCGGGAAGAUGGCUCAGAAGCCAUCAAGGUGACAGCUCAGAAGUGAAGACAACUCCAACAGCAGCAGAUUUUUUCCCCAGGAGCUGCCCAGAGUGCUGAGCAGGGUGGCUGCUUAUGCCUGUAAGAAAACUAAAGACACCUCCUCCCCACAAUACUUUGUUUUUCAAGUGAAAGGUUUGGACAAUUCCCCACAUAUCCUCUACUUAAGUGGA